This 450-nucleotide ribosomal RNA is filed under the name uncultured bacterium. Its description in RNAcentral is "partial 16S ribosomal RNA". It matches the Rfam family "Bacterial small subunit ribosomal RNA", at positions 354 to 796 of the family's 1533-position model. The record is from RNAcentral.
GUGGGGAAUCUUCCGCAAUGGACGAAAGUCUGACGGAGCAACGCCGCGUGAGUGAUGACGGCCUUCGGGUUGUAAAGCUCUGUGAUCGGGGACGAAUGGCUGGUGUGCUAAUACCACAUCAGAGUGACGGUACCCGAAUAGCAAGCCACGGCUAACUACGUGCCAGCAGCCGCGGUAAUACGUAGGUGGCAAGCGUUGUCCGGAAUUAUUGGGCGUAAAGCGCGCGCAGGCGGCUUCUUAAGUCCAUCUUAAAAGUGCGGGGCUUAACCCCGUGAUGGGAUGGAAACUGGGAGGCUGGAGUAUCGGAGAGGAAAGUGGAAUUCCUAGUGUAGCGGUGAAAUGCGUAGAGAUUAGGAAGAACACCGGUGGCGAAGGCGACUUUCUGGACGACAACUGACGCUGAGGCGCGAAAGCGUGGGGAGCAAACAGGAUUAGAUACCCCUGUAGUCC